AGGAUGAACGCUGGCGGUAUGCCUAACACAUGCAAGUCGAACGGGUGUCUUCGGACAUUAGUGGCGGACGGGUGAGUAACGCGUGAGAAUCUGCCUUCAGGAUGGGGACAACAGUUGGAAACGACUGCUAAUACCCGAUAUGACGAAAGUUGAAAGAUUUAUCGCCCGGAGAUGAGCUCGCGUCAGAUUAGCUAGUUGGUGUGGUAAUGGCGCACCAAGGCGACGAUCUGUAGCUGGUCUGAGAGGAUGAGCAGCCACACUGGGACUGAGACACGGCCCAGACUCCUACGGGAGGCAGCAGUGGGGAAUUUUCCGCAAUGGGCGCAAGCCUGACGGAGCAAUACCGCGUGAGGGAGGAAGGCUCUUGGGUCGUAAACCUCUUUUCUCAGGGAAGAACAAAAUGACGGUACCUGAGGAAUCAGCAUCGGCUAACUCCGUGCCAGCAGCCGC
RNAcentral lists this ribosomal RNA (450 nucleotides) under uncultured bacterium. Its description in RNAcentral is "SSU rRNA". It matches the Rfam family "Bacterial small subunit ribosomal RNA", at positions 26 to 518 of the family's 1533-position model. The record is from RNAcentral.